UUCAGACUUCCAUUAGAAGCAGUGAUGGGGCUGCUUUUCAUUUUUCUCCUCAAUACAGGGAAACGUGUCACCAUUACUGUCUGUGGUAAUCUCUCUCUCACUAUUUUGAUUUUAACAUAUAGAUUAUGUUUAAAAAAAUGGAGUACUAUAUGUAUUUAAAUAUUUUGAACAGCACAAUACUGAAACUUCUUCCAUCGUAUUUUAGAUGACACUUUUCGAAGGUAAUACUGAUGUUAUUUGAGCUUGACAGUUAACUGCAGGUCAAUAUUUCAUCAGAUCAUUUUGCUCAACCUAAAGGCAGAGCUACACACAGCUGUACCUUCAGUCGACUUGGAAUGGGCGGAGUUAGAGUCGCACACUGAUUACAUCACAGGGUAGUGACUGGUUCAUAAAGAUGGACACUGAUCCAGGAACAUGUCCUACUUUUGGAAAUAAAACAACACUGUGUGUGUGUGUAUCUACAUGUAUGUGUUCCUUGACUGCCAUCCUGUGUUCAGGAGGAGAAGUGCAUCCAAUAUAACCCUUUAAGUGCUGUGAGUCCAACCCAAUUUUUGUACACUUUCUGAAAGUGUGCGUGUUUAUUUAUAUACAUUUUCUCUCCCCCUCUAUAAGCAGUCCAUAGAAUUAUCUGGCACGAGUCCGAGAGCCAGGGCUUUUCCUGGAGGACAGCUGGGCAGGAACACAGUGUUGGGGGCGGGGUCUACGUUCUCAGAGUCCUCUGAUUUGUCCACGAUUGUCUCCCAGUUGAUGUGGAAUCGUGUCACACGUGGGUUCGAUGCCAAGAUGUUCCUUUGCAGCUGAGGAUUGCCAUGAGGGGAAAGAGGAACAGGGCCGACCAGCACCGAGUCCAGCGUCUGAUCGUACUCCUCACUCUCCGCAGAGCCCACAUAGAUGAUCUUCCACUCCAGAUCUGCCCCAGGAGAAAGAGAGGAGAUCAUCACCACCACCACCACCACUCAACACUCCGAUCCAAUUGUUCAGCACUCAUUCAACAUGUGACCACGAUUCACAGGUGUUGAGCAGUAAUGGGUGUGAGUGUGAGCUUUACCCUCAGGCAGAUCCUCCAUGCACUCGAACGUGAUCUCGAACUGGAAGGGGUUACAGAAGGGGCUCGGGUUGUCCAGAACCGCCACAUUCAGCACCUGGACCUUCGCCAUCAUCCCCAGCGCGCGCGCAGCUCACUCCGGCACCAUGCACUGAACCCCGGGGUUCAGAUCCGACAACCUCCUGUGAGCAGCUCUCUCUCUCUCUCUCUCUCUCCACCUUCCACACUGCAAACUUCAGCCAAACACACAACCCGCCCCGAAUCACCACCAGCCAGGUUUCCCCACUGCACAGAGCCUUUAACACAUCACUCCCUCCCUCACACAGACCCGGGCGCCUUCACAGCCAUCUUUAUUUAUCAUUAAACUAAAAGCGGCUCAAGGUUUUAAAGUGAAUAAACAACAGCAAAGCCGCUCAGUGCUCAAAUCCCGAAUACAUGUCUGAUCACUACACUAACUCCUUCACUAGUGUGCGAAACAAGAGGAUUCCGCGCCCUAUAUAGUGCACUACGUGUUCAAUAGUGAUGUGUUUGGGAUUCAACCAAACUUCUUCCUCGCCAGUCAAACAGACCGGUGAAAACUCAAGAGGAAAUCUUUCUACUGCCACCACCUGGGCAGAGUCGGUAUUGCACUUCAAUUUCUUUCUUUCUUUCUUUCUUCAUUGAGUUUCAUAAACGGUGCAGUAUCAAACAAAACAAAACAGAACUGAACAAGGCGUGACAUUAUUAUCAAAUAAAUUGACUACAGUGCAAAAAAGGCAAUUAAAAACAUUUAAUAUUGACCAAAUGGCAUCGUUAAUCACAUUAAGAUAUAUGUACAGUGGUGCUUGAAAGUAGAGCCCUGCACUCCCGCGGGACCCGCCGCAAAGCAGUGCGGCGCGGGACAAAUUUUGAAAGCUCAUUGCGGGCGCGGGCGG
Molecule: long non-coding RNA, 1959 nt
Organism: Neoarius graeffei (lesser salmon catfish)
Lineage: Eukaryota; Metazoa; Chordata; Actinopteri; Siluriformes; Ariidae
Exons: 3
Source: RefSeq, a predicted model, not a curated record